UACGAAGGGGGCUAGCGUUGCUCGGAAUCACUGGGCGUAAAGCGCACGUAGGCGGGUCUUUAAGUCAGGGGUGAAAUCCUGGAGCUCAACUCCAGAACUGCCUUUGAUACUGAAGAUCUUGAGUUCGGGAGAGGUGAGUGGAACUGCGAGUGUAGAGGUGAAAUUCGUAGAUAUUCGCAAGAACACCAGUGGCGAAGGCGGCUCACUGGCCCGAUACUGACGCUGAGGUGCGAAAGCGUGGGGAGCAAACAGG
Molecule: ribosomal RNA, 253 nt
Filed under: uncultured bacterium
Lineage: Bacteria
Description: partial 16S ribosomal RNA
Rfam family: Bacterial small subunit ribosomal RNA
Source: RNAcentral